Molecule: transfer RNA, 88 nt
Filed under: Neisseria iguanae
Lineage: Bacteria; Pseudomonadati; Pseudomonadota; Betaproteobacteria; Neisseriales; Neisseriaceae
Description: tRNA-Leu
Rfam family: tRNA (bases 8-74)
About the family: Transfer RNA (tRNA) molecules are approximately 80 nucleotides in length.
Source: RNAcentral
ACCCAGGUGGCGAAAUUGGUAGACGCAGGGGAUUCAAAAUCCCCCGCUGCAAGGCGUGUCGGUUCGAGUCCGACUACUUUGGGCACCA